RNAcentral lists this ribosomal RNA (459 nucleotides) under uncultured bacterium. RNAcentral describes it as "bacterial SSU rRNA". It matches the Rfam family "Bacterial small subunit ribosomal RNA", at positions 29 to 507 of the family's 1533-position model. The record is from RNAcentral.
AUUGAACGCUGGCGGCAUGCCUAACACAUGCAAGUCGAACGGCAGCGCGGGCUUCGGCCUGGCGGCGAGUGGCGGACGGGUGAGGAAUACAUAGGAAUCUGCCCAGUCGUGGGGGAUAACCCGGGGAAACCCGGACUAAUACCGCAUACGACGGUGACGUGAAAGCCGGGGACCUUCGGGCCUGGCGCGAUUGGAUGAGCCUAUGUCGGAUUAGCUAGUUGGCGGGGUAAAGGCCCACCAAGGCGACGAUCCGUAGCUGGUUUGAGAGGAUGAUCAGCCACACUGGGACUGAGACACGGCCCAGACUCCUACGGGAGGCAGCAGUGGGGAAUCUUAGACAAUGGGGGAAACCCUGAUCUAGCCAUGCCGCGUGAGCGAUGAAGGCCUUAGGGUUGUAAAGCUCUUUCAGUGGGGAAGAUAAUGACGGUACCCACAGAAGAAGCCCCGGCUAACUCCGUG